GAAUUUCUUCUCUUUUUAUUUUACUUUUUUAUAAAACUCAUUGUUCUGAAAACCGAAUCGGUCUGGCCGGUUAAGCUCAUAAACCACUUGGCUGAAAAACAGGUUAGAAAACUGGUUGAACUGACGAUUAACCAUUGUACUGCCGGAACCGGCUGGUUUUUUAAAGUUUCUCGAUUCAAUGCACCCCUCCAAAACGGCGCCGUUUUAUACCUUUCAAAAAAAAAAACUAAAAUCCUAAUCCCCCAACACAGCCCAGUCCCACUCCUCUCUUUGAAACUGAAAAGUGAACAAAGAACCCUAGCCCCCCUCUAGCCCCGCAACCAGCAGCCACCACAGCCCCCGCAUCUCCGAUUCGUUGUCAUCGUGGAACUCUUCUCCGCUGGGAAGCUCCAUCGUAGGAAGCUCCGUCGCCGUCCUAGGAAGCUGUGUCGCCAUCGUAGGAAGCCCCCUCGCCGUCGUGUGGAUGCUCUGUGGCGGUUGUCGUCUCCUCUGUUCGAGCGCUCUCUCUCUCUGUUCACAACCUUGCUUCUGUUUGGAUUUUCAAGAAUAGGAAGCAUGUUGAGAUUCACUGUAAUAAUUGGUACCUGAGAUUAUGCAGUACUGAUAGAGAUAGCCAUUGGGAAUAAUCAUAUGGACAAAAAGUAGACUCACCAAGUUGAGGUAAACAAUAAAAUAAACCGCAUUGAUGAAUGAGAGUAACACUUACAAUAACAGAAAGUCAUUAAGUAAUAAACAUGGACUGACUUGAUUCAAUUCAACUUAAUGCGCCAAAUUGUUUAUGCUGGAAUCAAUUCUGAGUUGUUUAUGCUAUGAUUCUGAUUUUAAAUUGUUUA
Arachis ipaensis is the source of this 833-nucleotide non-coding RNA. NCBI's taxonomy places the organism in Eukaryota, Viridiplantae, Streptophyta, Magnoliopsida, Fabales, Fabaceae. The record is from RefSeq and is a predicted model, not a curated record.